Molecule: ribosomal RNA, 363 nt
Filed under: Mycobacterium sp. R-23067
Lineage: Bacteria; Bacillati; Actinomycetota; Actinomycetes; Mycobacteriales; Mycobacteriaceae
Description: bacterial SSU rRNA
Rfam family: Bacterial small subunit ribosomal RNA
Source: RNAcentral
GACGAACGCUGGCGGCGUGCUUAACACAUGCAAGUCGAACGGAAAGGCCCUUUCGGGGGUACUCGAGUGGCGAACGGGUGAGUAACACGUGGGUGAUCUGCCCUGCACUUUGGGAUAAGCCUGGGAAACUGGGUCUAAUACCGGAUAGGACUACGCGAUGCAUGUCGUGUGGUGGAAAGCUUUUGCGGUGUGGGAUGGGCCCGCGGCCUAUCAGCUUGUUGGUGGGGUGAUGGCCUACCAAGGCGACGACGGGUAGCCGGCCUGAGAGGGUGACCGGCCACACUGGGACUGAGAUACGGCCCAGACUCCUACGGGAGGCAGCAGUGGGGAAUAUUGCACAAUGGGCGCAAGCCUGAUGCAGCG